Molecule: microRNA precursor, 95 nt
Filed under: Daucus carota subsp. sativus
Lineage: Eukaryota; Viridiplantae; Streptophyta; Magnoliopsida; Apiales; Apiaceae
Description: pre miRNA mir-166
Source: RNAcentral
GGUGUUUGAAAUGAAGUUUGUUCCAAGAUCCAUCCAUUUGUUCCGCGAUUAGUAUUAUUGGAGAGGAUUUCGGACCAGGCUUCAUUUCUCACACC